UAAAGCAAAUAAGGGCGUAUGGUGGAUGCCUUGGGUCUGAGAGGCGAUGAAGGACGUGGUAAGCUGCGAUAAGCUUCGGGGAGCUGCACACAAGCAUUAUAUCCGAAGAUUUCCGAAUGGGACAACCUAGUACAUUGAAGAUGUAUUACCCCGCCGUAAGGCGGGGAGCCAACCUCCUGAACUGAAACAUCUAAGUAGGGAGAGGAAAAGAAAACAAUAGUGAUUCCCUGAGUAGUGGCGAGCGAAACGGGAAUAGCCCAAACCAUGGCGGCGUGCUGCCGUGGGGUUGUAGGACUGCAUUUAGAAGCUGUUAUCAAGCUGAAUCUUCUGGAAAGUUGAGUCAUAGAGGGUGAUAAUCCCGUAGGCAGAAAUUAACAGUAACGAGCAGUAUCCUGAGUAAGGCGGGACCGGAGAAAUCCUGCCUGAAUCUGCCGGCACCAUCCGGUAAGGCUAAAUACUCCUCAGACACCGAUAGUGAACCAGUACCGUAAGGGAAAGGUGAAAAGUACCCUAAACAAGGGAGUGAAAUAGUACCUGAAACCGUACGCCUACAAGCGGUCGGAGUCCGCCUCGGCGGAUGACGGCGUGCCUUUUGCAUAAUGAGCCUACGAGUUACUCCUCACUGGCGAGGUUAAGUUCUUUAAUAACGGAGCCGUAGCGAAAGCAAGUCCAAACAGGGCGCUUAGUCAGUGGGGGUAGACGCGAAACUUUGUGAUCUAUCCAUGGGCAGGUUGAAGGUGUGGUAACACACACUGGAGGACCGAACGCGUUGACGUUGAAAAGUCUUGCGAUGACCUGUGGAUAGGGGUGAAAGGCCAAUCAAACUGAGAGAUAGCUCGUUCUCCCCGAAAUGUUUUUAGGAACAGCCUCGGAUAUAAAGAAGUUUACUAGAGGUAGAGCUACUGAUUGGGCUAGGGGGCUUCACCGCCUACCAAACCCUGACAAACUCCGAAUGCUAGUAAAUAUCUCCGGGAGUGAGGCUGUGGGCGAUAAGGUCCAUGGCCGAGAGGGAAAUAACCCAGAUUAGCAACUAAGGUCCCUAAUACAUGGUUAAGUUGAUCAAACGAGGUGGAGUUUCUAUAACAGCCAGGAUGUUGGCUUGGAAGCAGCCACUCAUUUAAAGAGUGCGUAACAGCUCACUGGUCGAGAGACUCUGCACGGAAAAUAAUCGGGCAUCAAACCAUGAACCGAAGUUCUAAAUUGUACACCUCGGGUGUACAGUGGUAGGGGAGCAUUGAAAUCAGCUGCGAAGGUGUGUGGCGAUGCAUGCUGGAGCGAUUUCAAAAGAAAAUGUAGGCAUAAGUAACGAUAAAACAGGUGAAAAACCUGUUCGCCGUAAACCCAAGGUUUCCUGAUCAAUGUUAAUCAGAUCAGGGUUAGUCGGGUCCUUAGGCAAACCCGAAAGGGGUAGUUGAUGGAAAGUUGGUUAAUAUUCCAACACCUGCUUAUACUUCGAUGGGGUGACGAGGUAGUGAAAGGUCCGCGUUCUUACGGAAUAGAACGUUAAAGGGUGUAGUUAUAGGUUGUACAGGUAAAUCCGUACGACUUGGCGAACCUGAUAGUACAGCAAAGCUUCGGCCGCGCUGAUAGUGACCCUAAUCAAACCUCCGAGAAAAACCUCUAAGUUAUGGUAUAAGCAGCCCGUACCGCAAACCGACACAGGUGGGUGGGAUGAGUAUUCUAAGGCGCUCGGGUGAGCCGUGGAGAAGGAACUAGGCAAAUUGACGCUGUAACUUCGGGAUAAAGCGUACCACAGCGAUGUGGUCUCAGUAAAAUGGUACAACCAACUGUUUAGCAAAAACACAGGGCCCUGCAAAAUCGAAAGAUGACGUAUAGAGCCUGAUACCUGCCCGGUGCUGGAAGGUUAAGGAAGGAUGUUCGUCCCCGCAAGGGGGCAAAGCUUCUGACUGAAGCCCCAGUAAACGGCGGCCGUAACUAUAACGGUCCUAAGGUAGCGAAAUUCCUUGUCGGGUAAGUUCCGACCUGCACGAAUGGUCUAAUGAGUUGUACACUGUCUCCUCCACGAGCCCGGUGAAAUUGUAGUAUCGGUGAAGAUGCCGGUUACCCGUCACGGGACGGAAAGACCCCAUGAACCUUCACUACAACUUUGCAUUGAUUUUGAACUCUUGAUGUGUAGGAUAGUUGGGAGACUUUGAAGCUGUGUCGCUAGGCAUGGUGGAGUCAUCGUUGAAAUACCAACCUUUAAGCGUUUAGAAUCUAAUCCGCCUUCGGCGGACACAGUGCAUGGUGGGUAGUUUGACUGGGGUGGUCGCCUCCUAAAAAGUAACGGAGGCUUGCAAAGGUUCCCUCAGUACGGUUGGUAAUCGUACAUAGAGCGUAUUAGUAUAAGGGAGCUUGACUGUGAGACUUACAAGUCGAGCAGGGACGAAAGUCGGCUAAAGUGAUCCGGUGGUUCUGUAUGGAAGGGCCAUCGCUCAAAGGAUAAAAGGUACUCUGGGGAUAACAGGCUGAUCUCCCCCAAGAGCUCAUAUCGACGGGGAGGUUUGGCACCUCGAUGUCGGUUCGUCACAUCCUGGGGCUGGAGAAGGUCCCAAGGGUUCGGCUGUUCGCCGAUUAAAGUGGCACGUGAACUGGGUUCAGAACGUCGCAAGACAGUUCGGUCCCUAUCUGUGAUGGGCGCUAGUAAAUUGAGAGGACAUGACCUUAGUACGAGAGGACCGGGUCGUAUGUACCGCUGGUGUAUCUGUUGUGCCGCCAGGUGCAAUGCAGAGUAGCUAUGUACAGCCAGGAUAAACGCUGAAAGCAUCUAAGCGUGAAACCUUCCUCAAGAUGAGUUUACUUUUAAGGGUCGUCGAAGACUACGACGUUGAUAGGCUAUAGGUAUAAAGGUGGUAACAUCAAAGCCGAGUAGUACUAAUUGCCCGUAAGCUUUAUUUU
This 2898-nucleotide ribosomal RNA is filed under the name activated sludge metagenome. RNAcentral's name for it is "bacterial LSU rRNA". It matches the Rfam family "Bacterial large subunit ribosomal RNA". The record is from RNAcentral.